GUGAAUCAUCGAAUUUUUGAACGCAAAUUGCACUCUCCUCGGAGAGUAUGCCUGUUUGAGGGUCAGCCUAUAAAAAAUCGAGGCGUCGCUUUUUUUUUUAUGGGUGAUCGUGUCGGAAUUGAGCCGUUUUUCAAAUGUUAAUUCAUGUUAAAGUGGCUUAAAAUUCAUCCAUCCGGUACGAUUAAAGCGUAUUUAAGUUAAAUUUUGAUUAAGAACGCGCGAUUAACGUACCAUCCCUU
This 239-nucleotide unclassified non-coding RNA is filed under the name Glomeraceae sp. RNAcentral's name for it is "partial contains 5.8S ribosomal RNA and internal transcribed spacer 2". The stretch from base 1 to 65 matches the Rfam family "5.8S ribosomal RNA", at positions 84 to 154 of the family's 154-position model. Lineage: Eukaryota; Fungi; Glomeromycota; Glomeromycetes; Glomerales; Glomeraceae. The record is from RNAcentral.